GCAAUACCUGCCACAGUUUUGUUCGAUUCUGGAGCUUCUCAUUCGUUCAUUUCGAAGAGUUUUGUUUUGCAACAUGGUUUUCCGAUACUUCCUUUGGAAAAGUCCAUGAUCAUCAAGUCCCCGGGAAAUAAGAAAAUCACACAGAGUUACUGCCAAGGUGUGAUUAUUGAGUUGAAAGGACUAAAGUUUCAGGCAAAUCUCAUCGUAUUGGAAAAUAAAGGCCUGGAUGUUAUCCUAGGAAUGGACUGGUUAACCACCAACAAGGGAUUUAUUGACUGCUUCAAUCGGACUGUAAUCCUCACUCACCAUCACGGCAAGACAAUAAAAGUUACAGCUCAAGAGAGACCAUGGUCA
This 354-nucleotide ribosomal RNA is filed under the name Triticum aestivum (bread wheat). Its description in RNAcentral is "partial small subunit ribosomal RNA". Lineage: Eukaryota; Viridiplantae; Streptophyta; Magnoliopsida; Poales; Poaceae. The record is from RNAcentral.